Molecule: unclassified non-coding RNA, 348 nt
Filed under: soil metagenome
Description: partial contains 5.8S ribosomal RNA, internal transcribed spacer 2, and large subunit ribosomal RNA
Rfam family: 5.8S ribosomal RNA (bases 1-120)
Source: RNAcentral
GAUGAAGAACGCAGCGAAAUGCGAUAAGUAAUGUGAAUUGCAGAAUUCAGUGAAUCAUCGAAUCUUUGAACGCACAUUGCGCCCGCCAGUAUUCUGGCGGGCAUGCCUGUCUGAGCGUCAUUUCAACCCUCAUGCCCCUAGGGCGUGGUGUUGGGGAUCGGCCAAAGCCCGCGAGGGACGGCCGGCCCCUAAAUCUAGUGGCGGACCCGUCGUGGCCUCCUCUGCGAAGUAGUGAUAUUCCGCAUCGGAGAGCGACGAGCCCCUGCCGUUAAACCCCCAACUUUCCAAGGUUGACCUCAGAUCAGGUAGGAAUACCCGCUGAACCUAAGCAUAUCAAUAAGCGGAGGA